This is a long non-coding RNA of Bos indicus x Bos taurus (hybrid cattle), 901 nucleotides long. NCBI's taxonomy places the organism in Eukaryota, Metazoa, Chordata, Mammalia, Artiodactyla, Bovidae. The record is from Ensembl.
UAUGGAGACCUAACAGUUGGAUUGAGUGCUAUUUUCAGUGUUCCGAACUACUUUAGGUUUAGAGUUGUGGGGAGCGAGUAAGAGCAUGUGUGUCAAAGCUUUGUUAAAAAUGUAAAUCUCUAGACAAAUGCUAGGUAACUGAGCAGCAGCAGCCACAAGGCACCGCGGGUAUUCUUAAUUUUUCACCCUAGAGUUGUCAGGAAGAGGCCCAUGCCUCUUUAAAAACAAUGUUCACACUGAGAACAAUCAUGGGACCUGGCAGAACUUGAAUGAACCACCUUCAUACAAUCUAGAGAAGCUAGAAAUGUAAAUUUAGAUCCUAUGUGCCUAUAAACAUGCCCAUGUGCCUGUUAUUCACAUAUCUUCAGGCUCUGAUCUUUUUGUCCUACUCCCCUUCAACCUAAACUCUGCUAAUUUUUUAUGAACACAUUUAUAGAGUGUAUUAGGAUAAAUUUGACCAUGCUGUAGAUAGGAUGAGGCAAUUAACUUGGAAAGUACAAUAAAAACAAUGUUAGACAUCUGAAAGCACUCUUAAUACUGGCUUUGCCAUUGUCCUUAACUUGCUUUUUAAUUAUGCAGGUGGUAAACUACCCAAGGACAGCAGAGAAGAGGGGAUACAUGCUCCCAGACAGGGUGGGCAAGGAGCCCUAAGGUAUAAAAUCUGCUUGAGAAAACAAACAAAUGAAAUGUGUAGAACUGUAAGAGAAAAGUGGCUGCCUAAUUCUGAGGAGCAGGAUUGGUCCCAGCAGAAGAAAAGUGGACAACAAGAAAAGCCUUGGGAGCAGUAAUGACCAAUAAUGGUCACUUACCUGGAGUGUCCUAGUUAUUACUGCUUGGAUCAGUAAUGGUCCAAAGUCUUGACUGAAGGAAGAAAAUAAAGUCAAGGGAGAAACUGAAGACA